This is a long non-coding RNA of Bos taurus (domestic cattle), 1482 nucleotides long. Lineage: Eukaryota; Metazoa; Chordata; Mammalia; Artiodactyla; Bovidae. The record is from Ensembl.
GUGGUGCGCCAGCUCUCUAGCUGAGGUGCCCAGGCUUAGCUGCUCUGCGGCAUGUGGGAUCUUAGUUCUCCAUUUAGGGAUCGAACCUGGAUCCCCUGCAUUGGGAGGCAGAUUCUUAACUGCUGGACUACAGGGAAAUCCCUUCUUGUCCUUUUAUAGCAUCUUUCAUUUGCAACGUGGCAAAUUGCUCUGUUUCUAGUGUUGGCUGAACAAAGGUGUGCUAUUUUCUUUUGUAUCAUAGGAGAGCAGGUGGUGUAAGUUUCUCCAGUUCUACACUCCUUUAGUAUGAAUCUUUUCCCCAUGUUAUUCUGGAAGUGGUGUCUAAUGCAUUCUUCUUUCUACCUGGUGGUGAUGAUACAUAUGCACAACAGUAGAAAAUGAUUAUUGAGAUGAAAUGUUAAGACAUCUUGUAUAUGACUAUCUGUACUUCUGAACAUGGACUCUCUUGAAUUCAAAGUAUUUACAUAUAUUUACAAAAUGACAUGCCCAUCUGAUGGAGUCUUUGACGGUAGAGCUAAAUAUAGUUAACUGGUUCCCACGGGAAUCCAAUCUCUGAUUAGACAAUAAGUCUUGAACUGCUGGAAACAAGCUAAAUGUGUUUCUGAAACUACAAUAUAUCUGAAAAAUAAUGUAGAUUUUCAGGAUUGUGUGUCCAUCCACUCCAAUUUGAAAAGUGCUGAUUUAUGAGGCUAAAAUCUUAUCCUAAGAAAUUGUUUUGUAGUUGCUAAGUAUAAAUGAAAAAGAAUUCUAGUGUUAGGCAGAAUAUUGCCUCUCCUCCCCACCCUCCUCCCAAGAAGACACCCAUACCCUAAUCUCCCAAACCUGUAAAUAUGGUCAAAGGGACUUUGCAAAUGUGAUUAAGUUUAAAGACUUUGAAGUAGGGAGAUUUCCAGUUGGGCCCAGUCUAAUUACCUGAAUUCCUUAUACUUGGAGAAUCUUUCCAGGCUAUGAUUAGAGAAAGAGAUGCGGUAGCAGAAGCAGGGUUACAUCACUGGCUCUGAAGAUGGACGAAAGAGGCCACAAGCCAAAGAAUGUGGAUGCCCUCUCAAAGCUGAAAAGGUGGAGGAAUUCAAGCAGAGAGCCCAAAGCCUGUGUGCAAAGAGCUCAUGAUUGCAAAGGAAUCCGAAGACCCUAGAGAUGAGAGUUACUCAUUUUAUGAGAGAGAGAAAAACAGAGAGAGAGAGACAUGGAAAGUAUCCAAAUGUAACGAGUACUGUGUAGUCGUUGUCUGACUAGGAAAGUGCAGAACAAAACUAUUCCUCCUUUACCAUUCCUGCAUGGAAGUUUCACAGAGGUUUGGAAUUCUGUUGCUCUGGUGAUGUACUAACUAACGUGAAAAGAUUUUGCUUACGGUUACUGUGUCACCUUUGGGGAUAGUUUGUAGAAUCACUGGUUAACUAGGUCAACUCUAUCCAUAUGGUAUCAUUAUGGUCAUUCUGCCCGGAGAGGAAUAGCAAACUAGAAAUCAAAGCUAGAAAGAAA